This 485-nucleotide ribosomal RNA is filed under the name Staphylococcus epidermidis. RNAcentral's name for it is "bacterial SSU rRNA". It matches the Rfam family "Bacterial small subunit ribosomal RNA", at positions 52 to 521 of the family's 1533-position model. Lineage: Bacteria; Bacillati; Bacillota; Bacilli; Caryophanales; Staphylococcaceae. The record is from RNAcentral.
UANUGCAGUCGAGCGAACAGACGAGGAGCUUGCUCCUCUGACGUUAGCGGCGGACGGGUGAGUAACACGUGGAUAACCUACCUAUAAGACUGGGAUAACUUCGGGAAACCGGAGCUAAUACCGGAUAAUAUAUUGAACCGCAUGGUUCAAUAGUGAAAGACGGUUUUGCUGUCACUUAUAGAUGGAUCCGCGCCGCAUUAGCUAGUUGGUAAGGUAACGGCUUACCAAGGCAACGAUGCGUAGCCGACCUGAGAGGGUGAUCGGCCACACUGGAACUGAGACACGGUCCAGACUCCUACGGGAGGCAGCAGUAGGGAAUCUUCCGCAAUGGGCGAAAGCCUGACGGAGCAACGCCGCGUGAGUGAUGAAGGUCUUCGGAUCGUAAAACUCUGUUAUUAGGGAAGAACAAAUGUGUAAGUAACUAUGCACGUCUUGACGGUACCUAAUCAGAAAGCCACGGCUAACUACGUGCCAGCAGCCGCGGU